RNAcentral lists this ribosomal RNA (441 nucleotides) under uncultured bacterium. RNAcentral's name for it is "partial 16S ribosomal RNA". It matches the Rfam family "Bacterial small subunit ribosomal RNA", at positions 338 to 795 of the family's 1533-position model. The record is from RNAcentral.
CCUACGGGAGGCAGCAGUGGGGAAUAUUGCACAAUGGGCGAAAGCCUGAUGCAGCAACGCCGCGUGAAGGAAGACGGUCCUCGGAUUGGUAAACUCCGUUCUUAGUGAACAAAAAUGACGGUAACUAAGGAGCAAGCUACGGCUAACUACGUGCCAGCAGCCGCGGUAAUACGUAGGUAGCAAGCGUUGUCCGGAAUUAUUGGGUUUAAAGGGAGCGUAGGUGGGGUGUUAAGUCAGCUGUGAAAGUUUCGGGCUGAACCUUGAAAUUGCAAUUGAUACUGGCUGUCUUGAGUAGAGUAGAGGUUGGCGGAAUUCCGGGUGUAGCGGUGAAAUGCGUAGAUAUUACGAAGAACUCCGAUGGCGAAGGCAGGCAACUGGGCUUCAACUGACGCUGAGGCUCGAAAGUGUGGGUAUCAAACAGGAUUAGAUACCCCAGUAGUC